GAACUCCGAUUGCGANGGCAGCUUGCUGGACUGUAACUGACGCUGAGGCACGAAAGCGUGGGGAUCAAACAGGAUUAGAUACCCUGGUAGNCCACGCCGUAAACGAUGAAUGCUAGCUGUUAGCGAUAUACUGUUAGCGGCACAGAGAAAUCGUUAAGCAUUCCACCUGGGGAGUACGCCGGCAACGGUGAAACUCAAAGGAAUUGACGGGGGCCCGCACAAGCGGAGGAACAUGUGGUUUAAUUCGAUGAUACGCGAGGAACCUUACCUGGGCUUAAAUUGCAGUGGAAUAACGUGGAAACAUGUUAGCCUUCGGGCCGCUGUGAAGGUGCUGCAUGGUUGUCGUCAGCUCGUGCCGUGAGGUGUCGGCUUAAGUGCCAUAACGAGCGCAACCCUCAUCGAUAGUUACUAACAGGUUAAGCUGAGGACUCUAUCGAGACUGCCGACGUAAGUCGUGAGGAAGGUGGGGAUGACGUCAAAUCAGCACGGCCCUUACGUCCAGGGCUACACACGUGUUACAAUGGGGGGUACAAAGGGCAGCUACCUGGCGACAGGAUGCUAAUCUCAAAAACCUCUCUCAGUUCGGAUUGGAGUCUGCAACCCGACUCCAUGAAGCUGGAUUCGCUAGUAAUCGCGCAUCAGCCACGGCGCGGUGAAUACGUUCCCGGGCCUUGUACACACCGCCCGUCAAGCCAUGGGAGCCGGGGGGACCUGAAGUAUGCAACCGUAAGGAGCGUCCUAGGGUAAAACUGGUGACUGGGGCU
RNAcentral lists this ribosomal RNA (764 nucleotides) under uncultured prokaryote. RNAcentral describes it as "bacterial SSU rRNA". It matches the Rfam family "Bacterial small subunit ribosomal RNA", at positions 704 to 1482 of the family's 1533-position model. The record is from RNAcentral.